RNAcentral lists this ribosomal RNA (253 nucleotides) under uncultured bacterium. Its description in RNAcentral is "partial 16S ribosomal RNA". It matches the Rfam family "Bacterial small subunit ribosomal RNA", at positions 524 to 776 of the family's 1533-position model. RNAcentral also lists the same sequence under 1 other name. The record is from RNAcentral.
UACGUAGGGACCGAGCGUUGUCCGGAAUCAUUGGGCGUAAAGAGCGUGUAGGCGGCUUGCUAAGUCUUGCGUGAAAUCUCGGGGCUCAACCCCGAGCGGUCGUGGGAAACUGGCAGGCUAGAGUGCGGGAGAGGAGAAUGGAAUUCCUGGUGUAGCGGUGAAAUGCGCAGAUAUCAGGAAGAACACCCGUGGCGAAGGCGGUUCUCUGGAACGCAACUGACGCUGAGACGCGAAAGCGUGGGGAGCAAACAGG